RNAcentral lists this long non-coding RNA (1447 nucleotides) under Cyanistes caeruleus (blue tit). RNAcentral describes it as "lncRNA (ENSCCEG00000004635.1)". The record is from RNAcentral. Lineage: Eukaryota; Metazoa; Chordata; Aves; Passeriformes; Paridae.
AUGCAGCAGUGGCUGCUGGGCUUGGCCACUAAGCACAAGUGGUGGCUUCUCUUUCAAAUGACACAAGUUCUGUCCUCCUGUCUCUGCUCCCCCCUCAGCCUCCUGCCUGGCUCAGGCCCGCUGGAAGCAGCUGCCAGUCCACAAUUAACAGGCGCUAAUUGGGCUUCCAGGGGGGCUGCAGCUCAGCCUGCUCGGCCCAUUCACACUGGGAAUCCCAGAAUCACGAGGGGUUUGGGCUGGAGGGACCUUAAAGGCCAUGUCACCCCAUCCCCUGCACUGCCAGUGCCAGGUCCCCAGGUGCCACAUCUCAAACUCUGCCCGGAGAUCCAGGCACAGCCUUGUCCGAGGGGAGACCCCCUGUGCGCCCCUCAGAGCUGUCCUGGGACCCCGGCCCGUGGGAAGGAGCUUUGGGACACACCGGGGGCAGCAAAGGCUUCCACAGGCCCAAAUCCACAGGAGAGCCCUUGGAUCCCAAAACAGCCUCUGGAUGAGGAGCCCCGAGGGAUGCAGAUGUGGAUGCAGAUGUGGAUGUGGAUGCAGGAUGCUCCAGUCCCUGCUGCCCCCACCACCUGUGACCACCUGUGGCCUCAGCCUGCAGUGGGGGCUCCCCAGGUCACCAAGGAGAGGAACCAUCUCCACAGAGAGACACAGGUUGCCCCAUGCCAGAUGUACCCACAGGCUCUUGGUGCCAUGCCAAGACCUUCAUGGAAAAAUUUUGUCUGGGUAAGCAUCAAGUCAGCCAAGUCUCUGAUGAUGCUGAACCGCUCCAGGACCAGCUGUGAAAAUCUGCAGAGGACCCUGGUGCAGGAGCCUGGGCAGGAAGGAGGAAAGGCAUGGCUGUGCCUCAGAUUCCUGAUACCCACUGGAGCAAGAAAGUUAAACAAGGAUCAGACCAGGAUGUGUCUGGGAAGAGGCAGUGCCCUUCUGGGCAGCACUGUUUUGGGGCAGCACCGUUUUGGGGCCAACUUCCCUGUUCUGGUCUGUGGUGACCGAACAACACGGAGGACAGCCCCAGGGCAGGAGUGGGGUCAUGCAGUGGGCAUGAACUGCUGACUGAGGGUACAUCCAGUAGAGAGGGAUCUGCAAAAGACCCCAAAGCCCCUUGACCCAUUUCCCAAAAGGCCCAGAAGAGCAGAGUGCACGUGCUCAUGUGUACAUGAAGAGCAGGGAACCCGAGGCCAGGGUGAGGAAACACAAAGUGCCCCCAAAGCCCAGGCAGUGCCCCAGGACCGCCCUGUUUGGGUCAGGGCUGGAGCAUUGACCCAAAUGCAGGACUGGUGUUCUCCUUUCCCAGCCAAUCUCUCCUUCACACUCUUCUGCCUCCCUCUUUUAUUUCACUCUUUUAUUUCUCCCACCAUUACUAUGUAGGGGAAAACAUGCAUCCAUUUCCAUGCCAGGUGUGGAGCUGGCCAAUAAAACUUGGUGAGCUCUGGUUUUUGGACCCCUC